RNAcentral lists this ribosomal RNA (610 nucleotides) under uncultured bacterium. RNAcentral describes it as "bacterial SSU rRNA". It matches the Rfam family "Bacterial small subunit ribosomal RNA", at positions 72 to 682 of the family's 1533-position model. The record is from RNAcentral.
AUAGUUCUUCGGAAUUAGAGACCGGCGCACGGGUGCGUAACGCGUAUGCAAUCUACCUUUCACAAAGGGAUAGCCCAGAGAAAUUUGGAUUAAUACCUUAUAGUAAUACGACUUGGCAUCAAGAUGUAUUUAAAGAUUUAUCGGUGAAAGAUGAGCAUGCGUCCCAUUAGCUUGUUGGUAAGGUAACGGCUUACCAAGGCAACGAUGGGUAGGGGUCCUGAGAGGGAGAUCCCCCACACUGGUACUGAGACACGGACCAGACUCCUACGGGAGGCAGCAGUGAGGAAUAUUGGACAAUGGGCGCAAGCCUGAUCCAGCCAUGCCGCGUGCAGGAUGACGGUCCUAUGGAUUGUAAACUGCUUUUGUACAGGAAGAAACCCUUUCACGUGUGGAAGAUUGACGGUACUGUAAGAAUAAGGAUCGGCUAACUCCGUGCCAGCAGCCGCGGUAAUACGGAGGAUCCAAGCGUUAUCCGGAAUCAUUGGGUUUAAAGGGUCCGUAGGCGGUCAGGUAAGUCAGUGGUGAAAGCCCAUCGCUCAACGGUGGAACGGCCAUUGAUACUGCUUGACUUGAAUUAUUAGGAAGUAACUAGAAUAUGUAGUGUAGCGGU